RNAcentral lists this ribosomal RNA (496 nucleotides) under uncultured bacterium. Its description in RNAcentral is "partial 16S ribosomal RNA". It matches the Rfam family "Bacterial small subunit ribosomal RNA", at positions 29 to 507 of the family's 1533-position model. The record is from RNAcentral.
AUGAACGCUGGCGGCGUGCCUAAUACAUGCAAGUCGAGCGAACAGACGAGGAGCUUGCUCCUCUGACGUUAGCGGCGGACGGGUGAGUAACACGUGGAUAACCUACCUAUAAGACUGGGAUAACUUCGGGAAACCGGAGCUAAUACCGGAUAAUAUAUUGCACCGCAUGGUUCAAUAGUGAAAGACGGUUUUGCUGUCACUUAUAGAUGGAUCCGCGCCGCAUUAGCUAGUUGGUAAGGUAACGGCUUACCAAGGCGACGAUGCGUAGCCGACCUGAGAGGGUGAUCGGCCACACUGGAACUGAGACACGGUCCAGACUCCUACGGGAGGCAGCAGUAGGGAAUCUUCCGCAAUGGGCGAAAGCCUGACGGAGCAACGCCGCGUGAGUGAUGAAGGUCUUCGGAUCGUAAAACUCUGUUAUUAGGGAAGAACAAAUGUGUAAGUAACUAUGCACGUCUUGACGGUACCUAAUCAGAAAGCCACGGCUAACUACGUG